AAGAAUUGGGGGGGAUGCCCUCCAGAAUCCCACAGCGAAGUGGAACACAAGGUAGUGGCCAUGAUACCUUCAUGCCAAUUUGAAGGUAUAUCUGGGGGAUAAGACACAGAGGAAAUCAUUGAAGUUCGCACAAGCUCCACAUGUGAAGAAGAACCCCUAGUGGAGACACCAAAAAUUACAGCCAAUCUGCCAGUUUCUACGGCUUCAUUCACCCAUGCACUAGACAACACUAC
Haliotis rubra (blacklip abalone) is the source of this 233-nucleotide long non-coding RNA. RefSeq lists it as uncharacterized. The transcript is spliced from 3 exons. The record is from RefSeq and is a predicted model, not a curated record. Lineage: Eukaryota; Metazoa; Mollusca; Gastropoda; Lepetellida; Haliotidae.